This 253-nucleotide ribosomal RNA is filed under the name uncultured bacterium. RNAcentral's name for it is "partial 16S ribosomal RNA". It matches the Rfam family "Bacterial small subunit ribosomal RNA", at positions 524 to 776 of the family's 1533-position model. The record is from RNAcentral.
GACAGAGGGUGCAAACGUUGCUCGGAAUUACUGGGCGUAAAGCGCGUGUAGGCUGACCGGAAAGUCGGGCGUGAAAUCCCUGAGCUCAACUCAGGAACUGCACUCGAAACUCUCGGUCUAGAGUGGUGGAGAGGGAAGUGGAAUUCCUGGUGUAGAGGUGAAAUUCGUAGAUAUUCGGAAGAACACCAGUGGCGAAGGCGGCUCACUUGACUGGUAUUGACGCUGAGGUGCGAAAGCGUGGGGAGCAAACAGG